AGCAGCCGCGGUAAUUCCAGCUCCAAUAGCGUAUAUUAAAGUUGUUGCAGUUAAAAAGCUCGUAGUUGAAUUUCGGGGUCAGUAAGUUGGUCGUGCCAAUGGUAUGUACUGGCUUUACUGAUUCCUCCUUCUUGAAGAACUGUAAUGCCAUUAAUUUGGUGUUGCAGGGAAUCAGGACUGUUACUUUGAAAAAUUAGAGUGUUUAAAGCAGGCUUACGCCUGAAUACAUUAGCAUGGAAUAAUGAAAUAGGACGUUGAUCUUAUUUUAUUGGUUUCUAGGAUUGACGUAAUGAUUAAUAGGGAUAGUUGGGGGCAUUAGUAUUCAAUUGUCAGAGGUGAAAUUCUUGGAUUUAUUGAAGACUAACUACUGCGAAAGCAUUUGCCAAGGAUGUUUUCAUUAAUCAAGAACGAAAGUUAGGGGAUCGAAGACGAUCAGAUACCGUCGUAGUCUUAACCAUAAACUAUGCCGACUA
RNAcentral lists this ribosomal RNA (473 nucleotides) under uncultured Glomus. Its description in RNAcentral is "SSU rRNA". It matches the Rfam family "Eukaryotic small subunit ribosomal RNA", at positions 569 to 1048 of the family's 1831-position model. Lineage: Eukaryota; Fungi; Glomeromycota; Glomeromycetes; Glomerales; Glomeraceae. The record is from RNAcentral.